This 253-nucleotide ribosomal RNA is filed under the name uncultured bacterium. Its description in RNAcentral is "partial 16S ribosomal RNA". It matches the Rfam family "Bacterial small subunit ribosomal RNA", at positions 524 to 776 of the family's 1533-position model. The record is from RNAcentral.
UACGUAGGGUGCGAGCGUUGUCCGGAAUUACUGGGCGUAAAGAGCUCGUAGGUGGUUUGUCGCGUUGUCCGUGAAAACUCACAACUCAAUUGUGGGCGUGCGGGCGAUACGGGCAGACUGGAGUACUGCAGGGGAGACUGGAAUUCCUGGUGUAGCGGUGAAAUGCGCAGAUAUCAGGAGGAACACCAGUGGCGAAGGCGGCUUUCUGGACGGUAACUGACGCUGAGACGCGAAAGCGUGGGGAGCAAACAGG